This 253-nucleotide ribosomal RNA is filed under the name uncultured bacterium. Its description in RNAcentral is "partial 16S ribosomal RNA". It matches the Rfam family "Bacterial small subunit ribosomal RNA", at positions 524 to 776 of the family's 1533-position model. The record is from RNAcentral.
UACGUAGGAGACAAACGUUAUCCGGAGUUACUGGGCGUAAAGGGCGUGUAGGUGGUAGAGUAAGUCUGGCGUGAAAUUUUUCGGCUUAACCGGGAAAGGUCGUCGGAUACUGCUUAACUAGAGGACGGUAGAGGCGUGUGGAAUUCCGGGUGUAGUGGUGAAAUGCGCAGAUAUCAGGAGGAACACCGAUGGCGAAGGCAGGUCUCUGGGCCAUAACUGACGCUGAGAAGCGAAAGCAUGGGGAGCGAACAGG